Molecule: long non-coding RNA, 2020 nt
Filed under: Anser brachyrhynchus (Pink-footed goose)
Lineage: Eukaryota; Metazoa; Chordata; Aves; Anseriformes; Anatidae
Description: lncRNA (ENSABRG00000014037.1)
Source: RNAcentral
CAGCUAUUUGUCCAGGCUUUCAGUAUGGAAUAGUUUUCCAUUAUUCUCUAACAGUAGAUCCAUUAUUACAGCUAGAGUAAACCAUAAAAUGUCCAAAAACAUCACCGGAACUGUCAGGGUAUCCCAGAAGAUCUUUUCCAUCAUAGUUUUGCACACACAUGUUAUGUGAUUAUGUGAUAAGAAGGCUUAUACAUUAUGAAAGGCAGUUUUAAAUUUUUUUUUAAUACAUCUGUUUUACCUCAUGCUGCCUUUUUGUUCUGUCUUUGAAAUUCUGUUCAGUAAUAUUCUUUUUUUUUUUUUUCCUUUGCUUUGGCAGGGACGGAAAAAGCAACAGGGCUACACAUCUCGGCUGCCUUCACACGAGGUCAGAGUUCAAGCCGUACUCCUGUUACCGUAUGUGUCACUGCUUUUAUUCAUUACUGUGUGGGCAGAAACCACCACGUUUAUAUCGCAUUAGUCAGAAGAGCUAACGAAGUGAUGCUGUGCUGGGAUGCAAAGUUCGUUUAGGCAGCUAAUGCUCAGGGCACAUGCCUCCAGCCCCAUGGCUUUAAGCAGGAGCUGAAAGGCCUUGGUGAGCUCCACAGCUGCUGUGCUUUUGGCCAAAUCACGCUUCUCUUCAGGGCCUUUAAAGGGGCACAAAAGAUCAGAUCGCCUGCCUGCUGGAGGGACUCACUCAGAGACUUGUUGAUCAGGCCUGCUGUGGAUUGCUGCACUGCAUGGAUGUUAUCUUUGAAUGUUAAGCUUCAAGUUAAGAUAACCCCUGUUUCAUACACUGGGGAGGGUGUGCUACAGCCCAUGGAAAAAUGCUGCAGGAAAGCAGACACCCUGCAAGUGUUCAGCUCCAACUGGAGCAUCACUAGCCCUAGUACAUGUAAGGCUGAGUCCAGCUGGGCACAUACAAGAAAAGAAGAGCAGAAAAUAAGGCAGAAAACUCCAAUUGCUUUAUGCUGCCCUUAUUCUACCAUGCCAAUCUUCAUGUGUGUGCCCAGCACUCAGGGAAAACCUGCAUGCCCUUCGUAGCUUUGCAUGGGAGAAGGAAAUAAGGGAUUGUUAGCCUGCAUGUUGCAUGGUUAAAAAACAGCAUAAAAUAGCAGCUGUUUGUGAUAUCUGCUAGGGGCUAUGCACGUAGGUGUUAUUCUUGGGUGGGUUUAAAGCUGUGAGUCCUGACUCCUGUGAAAAGUGCCCUGUGUGGUCUGUGCAGCCCGGGGCCAACACGAAGCAAAUCAGCAAGGUGCGCAGCACCGCAACGAUGCUGGGCAAGCAGAAGGUGCUUGUGAAAGCAACAGGGUGAGAAAUUGUUCCCUGCUCUAAUAACUACAGGAUAUUAAGAGGAGUAGGUUCACAGGGGUGUGGGCUACUUCUCAGAUUCUGGAGAAAUUUUCCAGAAGUGUAAAAUGAUAAUUCCAUGAGGAAAAGGUGGUUAACAAAUUUUCCCUGUUAAUUCAAAUGCACAAAAGUUAAUUGCAGUUUGGCAGCCUGAGAUAUACAAAUUAGAGUUUAAUUCGGCUAAUCCUCAUUUUAAGUUGCAGGGUAUUGAAUACAAAUAUGAUCGUCUUGUGAAGGGACAAAUCCUGCCUCCGCUGAAGCCAGCGGGAGCCUUGCCAUGAACUUGAGAAGGGGCUGGAUUCAGCCCCUGGGUGAGCUCUGCGUGUAGGACUGAACUGGCCCAGAUGACAGGGAACCUGUGGGAUUUUUCCCUCAGCAUACGGGCCCAGAAUUACUCAGCUCCUCAAACCCUGCCAAACUUCCCCAGCCCUGCUGUGCUUCCCGAUUUGUACAGCUGGUUUUGGCUACCCAGGCACCCUGUGGGAGAAGCUGGGUUUUCUGCCCUUCUCCAUUCCCCUCUUCACUGUCUGACCAAUUAAAUAGAUAAUGCCGAAAGUUCCUCGAUUCAUGGGCUGUAACACAAACUGGGCUGUCUCCUAGAGGAAUCGUUUUUCCCAUUCAGCCCACAGCAGUCUGCCUGCUUUCCCAAACUCGCUGCAUGCUGUUGCCUCCACACGUUGUCUCACACGUCUGA